RNAcentral lists this ribosomal RNA (497 nucleotides) under uncultured bacterium. Its description in RNAcentral is "partial 16S ribosomal RNA". It matches the Rfam family "Bacterial small subunit ribosomal RNA", at positions 28 to 507 of the family's 1533-position model. The record is from RNAcentral.
GAUGAACGCUGGCGGCGUGCCUAAUACAUGCAAGUCGAGCGAACAGACGAGGAGCUUGCUCCUCUGACGUUAGCGGCGGACGGGUGAGUAACACGUGGAUAACCUACCUAUAAGACUGGGAUAACUUCGGGAAACCGGAGCUAAUACCGGAUAAUAUAUUGAACCGCAUGGUUCAAUAGUGAAAGACGGUUUUGCUGUCACUUAUAGAUGGAUCCGCGCCGCAUUAGCUAGUUGGUAAGGUAACGGCUUAUCAAGGCAACGAUGCGUAGCCGACCUGAGAGGGUGAUCGGCCACACUGGAACUGAGACACGGUCCAGACUCCUACGGGAGGCAGCAGUAGGGAAUCUUCCGCAAUGGGCGAAAGCCUGACGGAGCAACGCCGCGUGAGUGAUGAAGGUCUUCGGAUCGUAAAGCUCUGUUAUUAGGGAAGAACAGAUGUGUAAGUAACUAUGCACGUCUUGACGGUACCUAAUCAGAAAGCCACGGCUAACUACGUG